UAACAUCAGUAACAUCAGUAACACCAAUAUCACCAGUGUCUGCAGUGAACCAGUGCACCUGCAGUGAUAACGGGUUGAUGGUGUUCGUGACGGUGUGGCUGUUUGAGGUCAUCAUCCUGGUCUCGCUGUUGGUCGGAGCGUUUUACAUCUACACCAGAAUCUACAGGAAGCAGAGAGCAGCUGAGAGUAAGGAAUAGGAAAGGGAGGAGCCUCUGUGGACCAAUCAGAACCAAGU
Long non-coding RNA from Astyanax mexicanus (Mexican tetra), 235 nucleotides. RefSeq lists it as uncharacterized. The record is from RefSeq and is a predicted model, not a curated record. NCBI's taxonomy places the organism in Eukaryota, Metazoa, Chordata, Actinopteri, Characiformes, Acestrorhamphidae. The transcript has 3 exons.